UCCUCGGUCGUAUAGUGGGGAGUAUUUCCGCCUGUCACGUGGAAGGCCCGGGUUCGAUUCCCGGUCGAGGAG
Molecule: transfer RNA, 72 nt
Filed under: Trichobilharzia regenti
Lineage: Eukaryota; Metazoa; Platyhelminthes; Trematoda; Strigeidida; Schistosomatidae
Rfam family: tRNA
About the family: Transfer RNA (tRNA) molecules are approximately 80 nucleotides in length.
Source: Rfam by way of RNAcentral